This is a long non-coding RNA of Serinus canaria (Common canary), 1529 nucleotides long. RefSeq lists it as uncharacterized. The transcript has 2 exons. Lineage: Eukaryota; Metazoa; Chordata; Aves; Passeriformes; Fringillidae. The record is from RefSeq and is a predicted model, not a curated record.
GCUUUGCAUGUGUGAGAAGUGCUGGAACUUCACUGUACCAUAGGCAGAUACAGAAUUCAGACUGUCCUGUUGCAGAUGAACCUAAACUGAAUUAACUUGAGUCUGCCUUGGACUGACUUCUCACAGAUGAAAAUUACAGCUUAUGAGGCAAAUUUUCUGAGUAGCAAAAGGAGGGAUUCUGCUGGGGUCCUGUGACAAUUCACUGACCUGAAUGAGGAUUCUUUGGCUCAGGAGUACAUCUGCCCCUUCUGAGUUCUACAGGGGUUUUUUUUAAGUGAGAAGAAUUUAAUCAAGAGCUUAUGAGAUUGUGCUGCUGGCUGCAGAGCUCACUGAGUAAUUUUGUGGGCUUUUCCUUCGAGCAUAAAGGACAUACUAAAUUUUUUCUGUAUUUUUUUUCUUCUCUGUACUUUUCUGUUUUCAUCUAUGUAAAAUGUCUUAUGUGGAGGUGAUAAUUAUUUUCCCAAUUAGAAUUGAAAAUACUUGAAGGAUAAGUAUAAAGGGCUUCUUCACACAGAUCUGCUGAGCUGUUAGAUUUUCUGAAACAAGUUUUUCUAUAGUCCUUCCACUUUUGCAUUUGUAAACUGUAUCAGACUUCAGUCUCAUUCAGUAACAACUUUCUUUAAUGCUAGAUACUGCCAUGAUACUUUUAAUAUGGUUUCUGCCACUUAUGUUGGUAAUAACUCCUUUAAUCAGUUGGGCUGUUGAACAGUAUAAGCUCUUGGUAUGUUGGGUCAGUAGUUUCAAAACAAUCCUGGUGAGGCCAGUGUAUGGAUGGUGUAGGGGAUUCCUUUUUCUCUGCUGAACCUGAACAUUUGCCCUCCGCCUUGUGGGCCUGUGUUUCCUCUGUCAGAAUGGAAGGGGGGAAAUCAAUAAAACGGGACGGUCUUGUCCAUAUUCACCCCUGAGCUUUAAGCAGUUUGUAUCCUAGUUUGGAUAGGCAAGGAAAAAAAUCUGUCAUUGGAUUUGUAAGUAUGCCAAUAUUAUUCGUUACCUUUCAGGUCUCCGUUAUUUACUUACACCAUUUAUGCACCUUCAGUGAAAUCAGCCAAGCUGUGUGUCUAGUAACAAGCAAAUAUUUAAGUGUGUGACCUGUAAAGGUGUUUAGAUUGCUAUUUAUGUGCAAUUGCUUUUUAAUUUCAUUGUAGAUUACGUGAUUGAAUACAUUUAUAGAUCAGUUAUUACACAGGAAUGACAGGCUUUUUUAGUAGUCACACAAUAAAAUUCUUUUCCAUAUAGAAGAAAAAUAUUUAUGCUAAGAUUAAUUCUUGUCAAAAUAUGGUUUCAAAAUGUUUUUAAUACCAGUAUAUUGGAACUUCAAUGACCAUAUAUUUCAAAUAGUGACAUUUUAUUUAAUAUUGAGUCAUUAACCAUUUCCCGGUUUACUUAACUUGGAUUUUUAUUUGCCAAAGGUUGAAACAGGAAAGAAACUUUUGAUAAAAAUGCUUCAUUUGCCUUUUUAUAUAAAAAGAAAUAUUUAUGGAUAUCUGCCUGAAUUCCAGUAUUAGGAAAAUAAACUUUUGUAAAUUCAA